Molecule: non-coding RNA, 45 nt
Organism: Schistosoma curassoni
Lineage: Eukaryota; Metazoa; Platyhelminthes; Trematoda; Strigeidida; Schistosomatidae
Source: Rfam
ACUCAACUGAUGAGUCCCACAUAGGACGAAACACACGUCCUGAAU